This 71-nucleotide transfer RNA is filed under the name Agrilinae sp. 1 ACP-2013. Its description in RNAcentral is "tRNA-Met". It matches the Rfam family "tRNA". Rfam says of the family: Transfer RNA (tRNA) molecules are approximately 80 nucleotides in length. Their secondary structure includes four short double-helical elements and three loops (D, anti-codon, and T loops). The record is from RNAcentral. Lineage: Eukaryota; Metazoa; Arthropoda; Insecta; Coleoptera; Buprestidae.
UAAAAAGGUAAGCUAAAUUUAAGCUAAUGGGUUCAUACCCCUUCUAUAAAGGUUAUACUCCUUUCCUUUUU